AAGUCGAGCGGACAGAAGGGAGCUUGCUCCCGGAUGUUAGCGGCGGACGGGUGAGUAACACGUGGGUAACCUGCCUGUAAGACUGGGAUAACUCCGGGAAACCGGAGCUAAUACCGGAUAGUUCCUUGAACCGCAGGGUUCAAGGAUGAAAGACGGUUUCGGCUGUCACUUACAGAUGGACCCGCGGCGCAUUAGCUAGUUGGUGGGGUAAUGGCUCACCAAGGCGACGAUGCGUAGCCGACCUGAGAGGGUGAUCGGCCACACUGGGACUGAGACACGGCCCAGACUCCUACGGGAGGCAGCAGUAGGGAAUCUUCCGCAAUGGACGAAAGUCUGACGGAGCAACGCCGCGUGAGUGAUGAAGGUUUUCGGAUCGUAAAGCUCUGUUGUUAGGGAAGAACAAGUGCGAGAGUAACUGCUCGCACCUUGACGGUACCUAACCAGAAAGCCACGGCUAACUACGUGCCAGCAGCCGCGGUAAUACGUAGGUGGCAAGCGUUGUCCGGAAUUAUUGGGCGUAAAGGGCUCGCAGGCGGUUUCUUAAGUCUGAUGUGAAAGCCCCCGGCUCAACCGGGGAGGGUCAUUGGAAACUGGGAAACUUGAGUGCAGAAGAGGAGAGUGGAAUUCCACGUGUAGCGGUGAAAUGCGUAGAGAUGUGGAGGAACACCAGUGGCGAAGGCGACUCUCUGGUCUGUAACUGACGCUGAGGAGCGAAAGCGUGGGGAGCGAACAGGAUUAGAUACCCUGGUAGUCCACGCCGUAAACGAUGAGUGCUAAGUGUUAGGGGUUUCCGCCCCUUAGUGCUGCAGCUAACGCAUUAAGCACCUCCGCCUGGGGAGUACGGUCGCAGA
RNAcentral lists this ribosomal RNA (851 nucleotides) under Bacillus pumilus. Its description in RNAcentral is "bacterial SSU rRNA". It matches the Rfam family "Bacterial small subunit ribosomal RNA", at positions 59 to 893 of the family's 1533-position model. Lineage: Bacteria; Bacillati; Bacillota; Bacilli; Caryophanales; Bacillaceae. The record is from RNAcentral.